GGAAUCUUCCGCAAUGGACGAAAGUCUGACGGAGCAAUGCCGCGUGAGUGAAGAAGGUUUUCGGAUCGUAAAACUCUGUUGUUAGAGAAGAACAAGGAUGAGAGUAACUGCUCAUCCCCUGACGGUAUCUAACCAGAAAGCCACGGCUAACUACGUGCCAGCAGCCGCGGUAAUACGUAGGUGGCAAGCGUUGUCCGGAUUUAUUGGGCGUAAAGC
This 216-nucleotide ribosomal RNA is filed under the name Ditylum brightwellii. Its description in RNAcentral is "partial Bacterial small subunit ribosomal RNA". It matches the Rfam family "Bacterial small subunit ribosomal RNA", at positions 358 to 566 of the family's 1533-position model. Lineage: Eukaryota; Bacillariophyta; Thalassiosirophyceae; Lithodesmiales; Lithodesmiaceae. The record is from RNAcentral.